RNAcentral lists this ribosomal RNA (253 nucleotides) under uncultured bacterium. RNAcentral's name for it is "partial 16S ribosomal RNA". It matches the Rfam family "Bacterial small subunit ribosomal RNA", at positions 524 to 776 of the family's 1533-position model. The record is from RNAcentral.
UACGUAGGUGGCAAGCGUUGUCCGGAUUUAUUGGGUUUAAAGGGCGCGUAGGCGGCUUGAUGUGUCAAAGGUGAAAUCCCUCGGCUCAACUGAGGAACUGCCUUUGAAACUGUCUGGCUUGAGGCCGGGAGAGGGUAGCGGAAUUCCCAGUGUAGCGGUGAAAUGCGUAGAUACUGGGAGGAACACCGGUGGCGAAGGCGGCUACCUGGACCGGUUCUGACGCUGAUGCGCGAAAGCGUGGGUAGCAAACAGG